UGCGCGCCCGGCGCUCGCUCGCUGCCUAAAGAUGUAAACAAUAGAGCACGCUCUGCGCUUUGGCGCGCCGGAGCUCUGGCUCCUAAAAAUAUUGAGGGGCUUUCGUUUCUGGGGCUGGGCGCUGGGCACUUGCUCUCCUGGCUCCCAAAGAUGUUAGCAAUAAAGUUUUGCCGCAGAAGAUUUUGGUCUGUGGUGUUCUUCCUGGCCGGUCGUGAGAACGCGUCUAAUAACAAUUGGUGCCGAAUUCCGGGACGAGAAAUUCCGGGACGAGAAAAAAUCCGGGAAGAAAAAACCUGGGAGGAAACUCGGGACGGGAGUUUCACCGGCGCAGGGAAGAUCCCUCAUUCCAGAACCAGAACUGCGGGUCGCGGUAAUAAAGGUUCCCGUAAAGCAGACUGUUAAGAAGGAUUCAACUGCAUGAAUUCAGAACUUUUCAGCUGGGGAACGGCGGUAACCCGUAAGUAUAGCUUUACGAGGUAAGCCUGGCCUUGAACUUUCUAAGGAAAUUCAAGACAGUCUAUCAGAAGUAAAGUGGAAAAUAGCUUUAUAAGGUAUGUUUGGCCUUGAACUUUCUCUAGUGUUAGAAGCCCUUUUGUUCCUUUUCACAUGUUAUCAAGUGGUUAAGGCAGGGCGGAUUCUGGAUGAAGUUCAGGACAAUCUAUCAGAAGUAAAGCGGGGAGAGAGAAUAGGAGCAAAGAGAAAAUAUGGUACACAAAAUAAGUAUACAGGCCUUUCCAAGGGUCUUGAACCUGAGGAAAAGUUUAGGUCAGGUAAGAAUACCUGGGGAGAGAUUAGAAGGAAGGAGAAGGAAAAAGAAAAGAAAAAAGAUCAAUUAGAGAAGCCAGUUCUUAGUAGUUCUGAAUCAGAUGAAAAGGCUAUUAGGGCCUGGAAGGCGCUCUCCCGAGCAGGUGAAGCCACUGGACAAUAAUGACAGAGGCAGGCUCUUGCAGCCUACAAGGUCUUAUUGUCCACCCUAGAGUUGUAGAUCAAGAUUAUAAAGGGGAACUUCAGGUUCUCUGUUCUUGUCCUCAAGUUGUCUUUUCUAUAUCACAAGGGGACAGAAUAGCUCAACUAAUAAUUUUGCCAAGCCUACAUGGCUGUUUUUUCUUCCUCUGGUAUUCCUAGAGCUGCAAGAGGGAUUAGUUCUACUGAAAAUGAUUCUGAAUACUUAAUAAUGCCUUUAGAUUGUUGUCAAAUUUUAUCUACUCACGUAGGGGUAAACCCUCGUGGCGUCAGGCCAUUACAGGUCUGACAAAUGGAUGUCACGCAUAUUUCCUCCUUUGAGAGAAAUCAAUAUUUACAUGUUUAGAAGAAACCCACUUAAAAAUGGGAUUGUGGUAUAUACUGAUGGAUCAAAAACUGGCAUAGGUGCCUAUGUGGCUAAUAGUAGGGUAGUAUCCAAACAAUAUAAUGAAAAUUCACCUCAAGUGGUAGAAUGUUUAGUGGUUUUAGAAGUUUUAAAAACCUUUUUAGAACCCCUUAAUAUUGUGUCAGAUUCCUGUUAUGUGGUUAAUGCAGUAAAUCUUUUAGAAGUGGCUGGAGUGAUUAAGCCUUCCAGUAGAGUUGCCAAUAUUUUUCAGCAGAUACAAUUAGUUUUGUUAUCUAGAAGAUCUCCUGUUUAUAUUACUCAUGUUAGAGCCCAUUCAGGCCUACCUGGCCCCAUGGCUCUGGGAAAUGAUUUGGCAGAUAAGGCCACUAAAGUGGUGGCUGCUGCCCUAUCAUCCCCGGUAGAGGCUGCAAGAAAUUUUCAUAACAAUUUUCAUGUGACGGCUGAAACAUUACGCAGUCGUUUCUCCUUGACAAGAAAAGAGAGAGCAGCGUUGGGGGAUAAUGUCGACAUUUCCACUCCCAAUGACGGUGAUGUAUAAUGCUCAAGUAUUCUCCUGCUUUUUUACCACUAACUAGAAACUGGGUUUGGCCUUGAUUCAGACAGCCUUGGCUCUGUCUGGACAGGUCCAGACAACUGACACCAUUAACACUUUGUCAGCCUCAGUGACUACAGUCAUAGAUAAACAGGCCUCAGCUAAUGUCAAGAUACAGAGAGGUCUCAUGCUGGUUAAUCAACUCAUAGAUCUUGUCCAGAUACAACUAGAUGUAUUAUGACAAAUAACUCAGCAGGGAUGUGAACAAAAGUUUCCGGGAUUGUGUGUUAUUUUCCAUUCAGUAUGUUAAAUUUACUAGGGCAGCUAAAUUGUCAAAAAGUCUUUUUCAGUAUAUGUUACAGAAUUGGAUGGCUGAAUUUGAACAGAUCCUUCGGGAAUUGAGACUUCAGGUCAACUCCACGCGCUUGGACCUGUCGCUGACCAAAGGAUUACCCAAUUGGAUCUCCUCAGCAUUUUCUUUCUUUAAAAAAUGGGUGGGAUUAAUACUAUUUGGAGAUACACUUUGCUGUGGAUUAGUGUUGCUUCUUUGAUUGGUCUGUAAGCUUAAGGCCCAAACUAAGAGAGACAAGGUGGUUAUUGCCCAGGCGCUUGCAGGACUAGAACAUGGAGCUUCCCCUGAUAUAUCUAUGCUUAGGCAAUAGGUCGCUGGCCACUCAGCUCUUAUAUCCCAUGAGGCUAGUCUCAUUGCACGGGAUAGAGUGAGUGUGCUUCAGCAGCCCGAGAGAGUUGCACGGCUAAGCACUGCAAUGGAAAGGCUCUGCGGCAUAUAUGAGCCUAUUCUAGGGAGACAUGUCAUCUUUCAUGAAGGUUCAGUGUCCUAGUUCCCUUCCCCCAGGCAAAACGACACGGGAGCAGGUCAGGGUUGCUCUGGGUAAAAGCCUGUGAGCCUAAGAGCUAAUCCUGUACAUGGCUCCUUUACCUACACACUGGGGAUUUGACCUCUAUCUCCACUCUCAUUAAUAUGGGUGGCCUAUUUGCUCUUAUUAAAAGGAAAGGGGGAGAUGUUGGGAGCCGCCCCCACAUUCGCCGUCACAAGAUGGCGUUGACAUCCUGUGUUCUAAGUGGUAAACAAAUAAUCUGCGCAUGUGCCAAGGGUAUUUACGACUACUUGUACUCUGCUUUUCCCGUGAACGUCAGCUCGGCCAUGGGCUGCAGCCAAUCAGGGAGUGAUGCGUCCUAAGUGAAGGGUCACUCCUCCUUAAAGGGGACGGGGUUUUCCGCCACUCUCUCUCGCUGGCAUCUCUCUGGCUCUGCGCGCCCGGCGCUCGCUCGCUGCCUAAAGAUGUAAACAAUAGAGCACGCUCUGCGCUUUGGCGCGCCGGAGCUCUGGCUCCUAAAAAUAUUGAGGGGCUUUCGUUUCUGGGGCUGGGCGCUGGGCACUUGCUCUCCUGGCUCCCAAAGAUGUUAGCAAUAAAGUUUUGCCGCAGAA
RNAcentral lists this long non-coding RNA (3312 nucleotides) under Mus musculus (house mouse). RNAcentral's name for it is "long non-coding RNA chr2:118555014-118558326". Lineage: Eukaryota; Metazoa; Chordata; Mammalia; Rodentia; Muridae. The record is from RNAcentral.